Molecule: ribosomal RNA, 466 nt
Filed under: uncultured bacterium
Lineage: Bacteria
Description: bacterial SSU rRNA
Rfam family: Bacterial small subunit ribosomal RNA
Source: RNAcentral
UCGGGAAUUUUGGGCAAUGGAGGGAACUCUGACCCAGCCAUGCCGCGUGCAGGAUGAAGGCGUUAUGCGUUGUAAACUGCUUUUAUAUAGGAAGAAAUAGUCCUUGCGAGGAAAGUUGACGGUACUAUAUGAAUAAGCACCGGCUAACUCCGUGCCAGCAGCCGCGGUAAUACGGAGGGUGCAAGCGUUGUCCGGAUUUAUUGGGUUUAAAGGGUGCGUAGGCGGUUUAUUAAGUCAGUGGUGAAAGACGGUCGCUCAACGAUUGCAGUGCCAUUGAUACUGGUAGACUUGAGUAUGAUUGAGGUAGCUGGAAUGGAUAGUGUAGCGGUGAAAUGCAUAGAUAUUAUCCAGAACACCAAUUGCGUAGGCAAGUUACUAAGUCAUAACUGACGCUGAGGCACGAAAGUGUGGGUAUCAAACAGGAUUAGAUACCCCAGUAGUCCCUGAGCGGGCUGGCAAGGCGCAU